UUUGUUUUAAAAGUAUCUAUAUAUCCAGUUUAUAUUAGUGUUUCCUAAAAACGCGAACUAAAUUCAAACUUCGAAACCGCGUCUACGACAUUCAUACAACAUUCAAACAUCGUUUCGAAAACAAGUCACAAAUUAAAAUUUUAUGACCACAUUAAAUUUUUCGCAGAUAUUUACUUUUAGGUGUACGAAAUUCGCCAAAUUCGUCUUGUUCUCUUAGGUUCACAAUCAAAUGUCAAAAACGCAGCAGUUUUGAAUUACGACGGCUUUGAUUUUAUGUCGAUUUGGAGGAUUUUGCAAUUUGAUUGAACCGAUUACUCAUUGAGUCCAGCAUCAUAUAUUUAAGAAGCCCUUUUCCGUGGUGAACAAAUACUGACUGCAUACAAUGGAAACUUGCAGUCUCUGCAGUCAACGGAUGUCCGACUUCCCAUACGAAAUCCAGUCCAACUAUUGAAUCUAGGUAGGUAGGUAUCUUUUGGCCACAUUGUUUGCCAACCAGUUGGGCAGACAAAUGACAGUUUGAAAGGUCGCCAGCGGCAAACUUGAAAAGGCCGACGAUGAGAUAUGCAUGUAUGUCUUUUGUUUUGUCAAUCUCUAUUGCAUAUUUAAUAUUCUUUUAUUUUCCACCAAAAUGAAUUCAGUUUUCUUGUUCGUUUUCAUGAAACGAUCGUUUUGUUUUCGCUUGUCUAAUUGUUUAUUCAAAUCGCCACACUGAACAUUGUCCAUUACAAUAAAUUCCAAAGUCAUCAUA
Long non-coding RNA from Drosophila willistoni, 748 nucleotides. RefSeq lists it as uncharacterized. The record is from RefSeq and is a predicted model, not a curated record. The transcript has 2 exons. NCBI's taxonomy places the organism in Eukaryota, Metazoa, Arthropoda, Insecta, Diptera, Drosophilidae.